UACGAAGGAUGCAAGCGUUAUCCGGAAUUAUUGGGUUUAAAGGGUGCGUAGGCGGACUAAUAAGUCAGUGGUGAAAGCCUGCAGCUUAACUGCAGAAUUGCCGUUGAUACUGUUAGUCUUGAGUACAGUUGAGGUAGGCGGAAUGUGUCAUGUAGCGGUGAAAUGCUUAGAUAUGACACAGAACACCGAUUGCGAAGGCAGCUUGCUAAGCUGUAACUGACGCUGAGGCACGAAAGCGUGGGGAGCAAACAGGAUUAGAUACCCUGGUAGUCCACGCCCUAAACGAUGAUAACUCGCUGUUGGCGAUACACUGUCAGCAGCCAAGCGAAAGCAUUAAGUUAUCCACCUGGGGAGUACGACCGCAAGGUUGAAACUCAAAGGAAUUGACGGGGGCCCGCACAAGCGGAGGAGCAUGUGGUUUAAUUGGACUCAACGCCGGA
RNAcentral lists this ribosomal RNA (440 nucleotides) under uncultured archaeon. Its description in RNAcentral is "bacterial SSU rRNA". It matches the Rfam family "Bacterial small subunit ribosomal RNA", at positions 524 to 966 of the family's 1533-position model. The record is from RNAcentral.